Long non-coding RNA from Canis lupus familiaris (dog), 1248 nucleotides. RefSeq lists it as uncharacterized. The transcript has 5 exons. NCBI's taxonomy places the organism in Eukaryota, Metazoa, Chordata, Mammalia, Carnivora, Canidae. The record is from RefSeq and is a predicted model, not a curated record.
CAUAAUCACCCAGUAAAACCAGAAAUGGCUCCUGCCCUUGUGAAGCUUACAGUUUAGUCAGCAUCUACUUUAAUCAAAGUCUAUGAACAAACAUAAAUAUAAAAUCUGCAACUGGAACAAGUACAGUAGGUGGAGGAAAGAACUGCCAACACAGUCUGGAUGUGACCUAAGAGGAGACAGACUUCUUCCCACAGUUCCUGAAAUGUCCCUGAGCCAAAACGAAGAGGCAAGCACAUGAAGAGGACAGGAAGAACGAUCUGUGCAGACGCAACACACGGUGGCCAAGGAGCUAUGAAACAAAGCAUGGUGAGAGGAGACAGGAGGAACAGGGGAGGCUGGAGAGCAGGUGGUGGACUAAUUCAGAGAACCAAACCUACCACUGAAAACUGAAAACAGUGGAAAAUAUAGAAAAUAUCUACUGAAAUGAAUCCACGAGCUGUAAGAACAUAAGGAAUCCACAGGCAAAAACUAGGUAAAUGGAGGAAUGCACAAAGGAAAUUUAAAAACACUACUGAUGCGGAAUUAAGUGUGGAAAGCCUCAACAGUUAUUAAAACUACACUUCAACUGGAAAUGAGCUGAGGCCAACCACAACAAUCUUGAAGUCACUUCCAGAAAGCUUUUCUCUGAAAAUGAAUUUAGAGUAUUUUCACUGUAGGACAAAGGAAAAAUGAAAAUGUGGGUUCUACACGUCAGGAUAGUCCUUCACAUACUAGAAGACAGCAAUGCUCUAUCAUCUGUCACCAACCACUCCUCCACCUCCAUCCCCAUCUUCUUGGCCCAAAUCCUGAGGUUUCCUUUCUCCAAGCUAAAUGUCUCCGAUUUCUUCACUCACAUAUCAAACAGUGUGCUUUCAAAUUACUUCAUCAUCUUGGCAAAGAAGCAAAUGACAAAUGUUUACUGGACACACCUAUCACGAGCAAAAUCUCUACCAGGUGCUAUCUACACUACCGGUUUAAAAAGAUAUGUAUAUAGACGUGGCUCAAGGUAUUUACAACUUAACCGGAGAGAGGAAAUAUGCUUCACAGAAGAUACUAAUACUAACCAAUAGGAAAAACAAAUGCAUUUGAAUUCAAAAUUGAUCAUGAACAUAUAACAUUCUGGCAGCAGAUACGGAGGGCACUUGACUUGGUUCAAAUGUAAACAAAACUGUGUUUGCCUAUUUUAAAGCUGGCAACAGAAAUCACCCAGAACUAAGGAGCUGGGCCAACAGCAUGACCAUAGGACAAAAAAAAAAAAAAAAAAAAAAA